UAAAAGCUAGUUAAAGUUAUAACUUAAAAUUGUCAUUUUUAGAUUACUAUUGUUA
RNAcentral lists this transfer RNA (55 nucleotides) under Galendromus occidentalis (western predatory mite). Its description in RNAcentral is "tRNA-Asp". The record is from RNAcentral. Lineage: Eukaryota; Metazoa; Arthropoda; Arachnida; Mesostigmata; Phytoseiidae.